Sus scrofa (pig) is the source of this 3796-nucleotide non-coding RNA. The record is from the annotation of a RefSeq genome assembly. Lineage: Eukaryota; Metazoa; Chordata; Mammalia; Artiodactyla; Suidae.
CUCUGAGCCACAGCGGGAACUUCUACACCAAGAAUCUUAACCUUUUCCAUUUUUGUUCAUUGGUGCUUGUUCUUUUAAUUUUCCAUCAUGUCCUUGUUCUGAAUCUCCUGAGAACAAGGUACCCAUUUUAGAACAUGACAGUUGUGACAAUGAGGACAUAGCCAGGGAACGAACCCACUGGUCAUACCAGGGACUUCAGAAAUAACUGAGGUUGAUAGUACUAGAUCAGAUGACCUGGAAGAUGGAAUUUCCUGUUAAAGUCUCAGCCAAGAAGCCAGCUCAGGGGCAACACCAGCAGUGGUUGGAAUGCUAUUAUAGGAAGCAGGAAUAAUCAUUACAUUAGUGUCGGAUCUAUGGUGCUGUGGCUCUCUAGCUAAAAUACACAAGUUUAGAAACCAAGAAAUGGAAGUAAAACAGAUUCUUCUGUUCUCACUGCCUGUGACCGCCCUUCAGAAUUUGUGUUUCCUUUUCCCAUAGUCCUAGGCUCUGCUGGAUUAAAGGUCCCAGUUCCCAGAGGAAGAAGUUUUCUACCAGGGAAUCCAGUUAAGGAUUUCAGGGCACCUGCAGCUAUGACUUCCACCUAGGCCACUCUGAAUUCCUUGUGCCAAUGAUCCAGCAGGCAAAGGAAGGAGUUAUUAGAUGGAGGGGUAAUUGAGCCUAAUUAUCAUGGAGUAUUGGACUGUCAUUGCACAAUGAGAGCAAGAAGGCUUAUGUCUGGAAUAUAAGUGUUUCACACGCCCUACGUGAGGUAGUUCCAUGGCCUAUAAAAACAGCAAGUGGCAACCCUGGCAACAAGGCCUAGAAAGGACACAGUGACUAAGAACAGAGACUUCUCAGUCACAAAGGUCUGGCUCACCCGACCAGACAAGAAUCUAGGCUCCAUAAGGAAUCUAGGUUCCUUAUCCAACAUAAGGAAAUCUGGAGAGUAUAGAGGGGGAGGGAGAAGUUGAGCAUCAGUUGGUACAAGACUUGGUACAAAUUAAAGGGUCCUUAAGCUCAGGUCACACAACCUCCUGUAUUAAGUGUUUUAGAUGGAUUUCAGCCAGCCACAACUUUUAAGACUCAGAAAUACAGUGAAAACAACAUAAGACAAGCACAACUCUGAGUAAAACAAAGAGAGCACUGUAACAAACAUCUCGUGUGCCUUGUUGCCAUGUCCAAAUGCCUAGCUUCAAUUUUGUCAAUGAGGGUAGACAAUGGCAGACAAUUCUGUGGACACUCAAAUUCAUCUCAAGUUGAUAACAUCCAACAUUAAGCAUGUAUUGUGCAUUAUUUUUACUUCCUAUCCCAGGGCCUUCUCUGACUCCUCAGGAGCUCUUUCAGCCUACGGGCAAGCACAGCCUAUAAGUACAGGGCAAUUGCCACCCCUGCCAGCAAGCACUAGACAGAGGGGAAAGGUACAGAUGAACACAUUGGCUUCAUGCCUCCCAGCAGACAGUCCUGGGAAGCAUCCUGCAUGCUUCUCAGAGAUUCUGGCAGAAUCAAGCCCCAGUCUUGUGCUACCUGCUUUCUCAUUCCUGGUUCCUAACAGCUUUUCCCAAACAAACUACCUUGACCAGAGUCCUUACUCCAGGCUCUGUUUUGGGGGUAAAACAAAAUUAAAACAGAGAUUCUUUAGAAAUUUAAUAGACAAAGAACAGCAGAAAGUUCAAGGGGAACUUUACUGGGCUGAUUGCUAACAAGAGCAGGUGGAUACUUGAGUGACUACAGAAUUGCAAAAAUAGAAGAUGUCACCUUAUUUUUUCAGAAGAUGGUGACACAGAUCACAUUUAUGAAACUCCAGUCUCUGCAAAUGUAUGAUUAUGUCCUUACUCACCAAGUCUAAGCUUUUACCCUUAUCCUCAUCCCUCAGUCUGCUCAUCUUCGAUUAUUUAAACCUCAUUCCCACUUUUUCCCCCAAACAUACCUCUAUUCUAGUCAGGCUCUUCUCCUUACUGACCCAUAAGCACCUCAAGCUCUUGAGCUUCUCUUUUGGUUGUUUCACUCACCCCUAUUUCCCUUUUAUGUGUAUGUCAGGCUGGUCAAAUCAUAUUAGUUCCAUCAGCACACCUUAAAGCUUUAUCUCCUCCAAGGGUUCUUUUCUAAUAAUGAAUCUUGAAUCCCUUCUCUGCUAAUGUCACACAGUGCUGAACGUGAAACAGAAAGCCGGACUCAUAGCGACUUACCUUAUUAAAGCAUUUACUACUGUUUCCAGGCUCCAAUCCUUCCUCCCCCAAAGGCAUCACAGGGACAGAACUUUGCUUUGUACACCUCAGAAUUCCUCAAUCUUUUGGCAUAGUAUUGGGCACAUAAGUGCCAGAUAGAGCCCAAAUAUUGUGCUUAAAAUUUAUUUUGUAAUCAUCACAUAGUCAUAAAAGAAUAUUAAGGGGAAAAAUCAAUAUGUUCUAACAUAGUCAGAAUAUUUCUUUGGAGAAGGUAUGAAAAAAAGGUAGGAUUUUUAAAAGCAGCCAUAAAGGGAGGAAUAGGUUCUAUUUUAUAUAUCUUCAUUGAGUGUAAAUAGGAAUCUGAAAAUCAUAUAAACAUUUUGUUUUUUUUAACAGAACAGAUUUCUUGACUAAAUCUCUUUCUGUUAGUGGAACGGAUUUUAGGAAUUGCCUCAGUAAUUAUCUCUGCAACCCGAAGAGGGCACUGUUUGCAUGGUUGACAACAGUUACGUAAUCCAAGGCCCUCUAGACACACCUGUUCCAGUUCUGAAGCAGCAAUGUCACUUAGUACAGCUAAUAGCUGAGGUUCAGAUGAGAACAAGAGGUCUCUGUCACCUUGCAGGAGAGAACUGCUAGCAUGGCAGGCCCCAGUUUGCUGUGGACAGUCGUGGUCACCACCUAUCUUGGAUCCAGCCUGGCCCAGACAGUCACUCAGCCUCAAUGGGAAGUGCCUGGGCAGGAAGCAGAGACAGUGACCCUGGACUGUACAUAUACUACUAGUGAGAGUGAUUAUUAUUUGUUCUGGUACAAACAGCUUCCCAACGGGGAGAUGAUUUUCAUUAUUCGCCAAGAGGCUUAUAAGCAACAGAAUGCAACAAACAAUCGCUACUCUGUGAACUUCCAGAAAGCAGCCAAAUCCUUUGGGCUCAGGAUCUCAGCCUCCCAGCUUGAGGAUGCUGGAGUGUAUUUCUGCGCUUACAGUGCUCCACAGUGAGAUGAGCAACGAGGAGAGGCUUACAGAAACCUCAGACCUCAGCAUCUGUGCAGAGGUCAGGUGGGAGGGGGGCGGGAGUAGUCAAGGUAAGAGGAACAUAGAAAAUCAUUGACUUCUCUGGAGGAAAAAGAAAAUACUCUUCUAUCUGGCUGUAGGAAACACAGAACAGAUGUCUAUAAGCUGGAAUUCUCAAAACGUAAUAAAAAUAAUGGAGGUACACAAUGCUUUAUAGUUUUGUAAAGUACAUUCACAUGUAUUUAUUUAACUCUCACAACCCUGUGUGUGAUGUAGAAAAGGUCACUGCCAUCCAGGGACUCUCAUGUUCUCUACCUGCGUGUCCUACAAUUACAUCAGAGACAACAUAUCCAAUACUGACUUUCUUAUCCUCCCACAAAUCUUGUUUUAUUCUUCCCUCCUCAGCUUUGCUCAGGAUUCAGACAAACAAUAAAAAAUCUUCUAUUUCUGAGUUUGGAGAAUUAGAAGGCCUCUACCUCCAGGCCAUCUGAUUGUGUGUGUGCGCGUUGCUGCCACAAGAGAAAUCCCCAAACUAAACAUAAUUUUAUCAUAUGAUUCAGCAGCAGAGCUCCUUGGUAUUUACCCAAAUGAGCUGAACAUUACAUUUACACAAAAACCUGCACACAAAUGUUUAUAGAAGUUG